Molecule: ribosomal RNA, 253 nt
Filed under: uncultured Ruminococcus sp.
Lineage: Bacteria; Bacillati; Bacillota; Clostridia; Eubacteriales; Oscillospiraceae
Description: partial 16S ribosomal RNA
Rfam family: Bacterial small subunit ribosomal RNA
Source: RNAcentral
UACGGAGGAUGCGAGCGUUAUCCGGAUUUAUUGGGUUUAAAGGGUGCGUAGGCGGCUUUGCAAGUCAGAAGUGAAAUCCAUGGGCUUAACCCAUGAACUGCUUUUGAAACUGCAGAGCUUGAGUGGAGUAGAGGUAGGCGGAAUUCCCGGUGUAGCGGUGAAAUGCGUAGAGAUCGGGAGGAACACCAGUGGCGAAGGCGGCCUGCUGGACGACAACUGACGGUGAGGCGCGAAAGCGUGGGGAGCAAACAGG